GCUGGGCAUGGUGGCUCAUGCCUGUAAUCCCAGCACUUUGGGAGGCCGAGGCGGGUGGAUCACCUGAGGUCAGGAGUUCGAGACCAGCCUGGCCAACAUGGUGAAACCCCGUCUCUA
This 117-nucleotide non-coding RNA is filed under the name Nomascus leucogenys (northern white-cheeked gibbon). Lineage: Eukaryota; Metazoa; Chordata; Mammalia; Primates; Hylobatidae. The record is from Rfam by way of RNAcentral.